This 648-nucleotide ribosomal RNA is filed under the name Eucinetus sp. APV-2001. RNAcentral's name for it is "eukaryotic LSU rRNA". It matches the Rfam family "Eukaryotic large subunit ribosomal RNA", at positions 670 to 1262 of the family's 3401-position model. Lineage: Eukaryota; Metazoa; Arthropoda; Insecta; Coleoptera; Eucinetidae. The record is from RNAcentral.
GGAGUCUAGCAUGUGCGCAAGUCAUUGGGACCGUCGAAUCCUAAAGGCGCAAUGAAAUUGAAGGAUCGCCUCGCGCGAUCCGAGGGGAGAUGGGUGACCCGCCGCGGUCGCCCCGCAUCCCCGGGGCGUCUCGUUCUCAUUGCGAGAAGAGGCGCACCUAGAGCAGUACACGCUGGGACCCGAAAGAUGGUGAACUAUGCCUGGUCAGGACGAAGUCAGGGGAAACCCUGAUGGAGGUCCGUAGCGAUUCUGACGUGCAAAUCGAUCGUCGGAACUGGGUAUAGGGGCGAAAGACUAAUCGAACCAUCUAGUAGCUGGUUCCCUCCGAAGUUUCCCUCAGGAUAGCUGGCGCUCGUUCUAACGAGUCUCAUCCGGUAAAGCGAAUGAUUAGAGGCAUUGGGGUCGAAACGGCCUCAACCUAUUCUCAAACUUUAAAUGGGUGAGAUCUCCGGCUUGCUCGAAUAAACUCUGGUGAAGCCGCGAGAUGUAACCGUAUCGGAUCAUAGUGCCAAGUGGGCCAUUUUUGGUAAGCAGAACUGGCGCUGUGGGAUGAACCAAACGUCUAGUUAAAGCGCCUAAAUCGACGCUUAUGGGACACCAUGAAAGGCGUUGGUAACUUAAGACAGCAGGACGGAGGCCAUGGAAGUC